Molecule: long non-coding RNA, 895 nt
Filed under: Brassica rapa (field mustard)
Lineage: Eukaryota; Viridiplantae; Streptophyta; Magnoliopsida; Brassicales; Brassicaceae
Description: long non-coding RNA (BRAP_LNC008306)
Source: RNAcentral
AGAACUUGUCGCGGACUUUAAAUCGAUACGAAUCAGGUUAAAAUCGCGACAGAAAAAUCAGUAGCCGGCUAGUCACCGCAUAAAUCUUAAAACCGAAAGUAAACCUAGGUCUUGCCCUAAACCCAGCGCUCUGGUCUCUAACAUCUCAAGGCAUGAUAUCAAAAGAUACGAGAUCCCUAAACCAUGCCACUAUGUUUAUAUUCAACGUCUUCAGCACCCCCGCGAAGCCUACAUCUCGCGGAAGAACUCUCAAAACAGAUCUCGAAUGAAACAUUUCACAAUCGAAGAAGGAUAUGAGACGACAACUCAUCACCUUCCUUCCCCACUAUACACUAACUCAUAACAAAGAACCAUUUUAUUAUCUCAUCAUAAAAAAGCCGCAAAAGCGGCAGGGAUUCAAAGACACACGCGACCAGUCCCAAAACACGAAAUAAGGCCAUCUAACGCCGAAACAUAAAAAAAAAACAUAAAAACAAAUCUCUCGCAAGAGAUCUAACCCAAGUCAUCUUCAGAACUCACGCACCCUCUUCACCUGUCGCCUCGUCCGAACCUGAAACCGCGUCACCUCCGUUUUCUCCAACCGUCGGGUCUUUCCCCACUGGGUCUUCUGAACACGUCGGAAGGAAGCAUGCGGAUUUCAGAUCAGCUAGGAUGAGAUCGAAAUCUCCAUCCACGGCCGCCAUAUCUCCCUUACAGCCGGACAGUCGGGCCUCUUCAGCCUCCAAGGUUGGGGGAGCCUCACUUUGGAACAACCAAACCACGGCCAUCCCGCCCUCAAUCAUCGCCAAAGCUAAAUCCCUGCUCCGGAUACACUCGAGGUAACCCAGGGAAGCAGAAAUCUUCGCCAAGCGAGCCUGAAACUCUGCGUGAAGAGCAUCCGUAGCCUCCUGGAUCC